CAACCAAAUACAUGCCCCUUUCGUGCAUUGCAGUAAUAGUUGAACGCCAUUGAUCGAUAGUUCCUAAAUGGUGAUCAAGAAUAGUGUAAUCCAAAGGAGAAUAUUGAUCAGCUCCCCAGGGCAUAUUGACAAAUGGAGUACCAGCAAUAUAAAUACCUUGUGUACCUAAACCUUCAAGAUAAUCCAAUGAUAACUCGAGCCCAACGAUAUCACCGCCAUUACGAAAACUGACUUCCGAAAUAUCAUAUUCAAAUGGAGUUUUUUCAAUAUCAUUAUUGGAUGGAUCACCAUCAUACCAACGAUCCAAAAUUACAGUAAUAAAACUCAUUCGCCAGUUAUCAGGGCUUGGAAAGAAAUCAUGAUCUGCCCAUUCACCAGAAUACUCCAAAACACUGGAAGCGUUUUUGUUUUGAUUUAAAUUCCAAGGCUCUUCAUCCUCGGAAUAUGGAGCAGCAAAUACGGAAUGAAAAAGAAGAAGUGCUAAAGCAAUAACAGCUCUUCUAAAACAUAACCCUUGAAGACCAUGCAUAAGAAAGACUCAAUAAAUGUGACUAGCUGUACGUACGGCAAAAAGAUAAAAAAAUAAAAUGAGGAUGUAAACGA
This is a non-coding RNA of Schizosaccharomyces pombe (fission yeast), 603 nucleotides long. NCBI's taxonomy places the organism in Eukaryota, Fungi, Ascomycota, Schizosaccharomycetes, Schizosaccharomycetales, Schizosaccharomycetaceae. The record is from the annotation of a GenBank genome assembly.